Molecule: long non-coding RNA, 776 nt
Filed under: Homo sapiens (human)
Lineage: Eukaryota; Metazoa; Chordata; Mammalia; Primates; Hominidae
Description: HSALNT0109269
Source: RNAcentral
CUGGUGUUGAGAAAAAAAACACUAUUUGCAUCCAACCAUUUGUGGUAAACUGAUUUGAAAUCACUAAAAAAAAUUAAGCUGCACUUUUCUUAAAGCCCUGUGAACCGAAGCUAGACAACUUAAACUUCAAUGGAAAAUAACAGCAACAUAUUUAUAUACAUAAACCAUUUUCAUACCUGCCUACUGAUAUAUGGACUUCAGGGUAAUAUGGCCUGUAUCAGUUUUCUAGGAUUGUUCUCCCUUUUUUGUUUCUCAUUUCCUCCUUUUUUCUCUGUUCUCUUUCUCCCUUACUCCCCCUAAUUCUACUUCAUGGGAUGUGGGACUUCACAACCUACUUAAAAUGAGCUUGCCUAACAACAUGGGACCUAUCCAUCUAGGAAUAAACUGUCAUAGUCAUAAGAGAUCAGGCAAAAGCCAAGACCAGAGACUCAGUUCUUUUAAAAUGCCUUCUCUGAAAGAUUUUAAAAUGAAAGGGGGGAUAAGUGUGAAAGGAAAAGAAAAACUUGGACCCCAAUUCACCAUGCCAAAAGGAAAAAAUUAAGCUGAAAGCUGUGUCAUGCAAGAUGCUACCUUUCCUUUUGUUCCUAAGCAAAUAGCUACAUAUAAAAGGAUAAAUAUCUCCAAAUAGCUACUCUAUGUUCACCUUAUCUUAUGUAAAGUGCUGAUUUACUGCGCAUGCGAUGAAUACAUAAUUAACUAUUCCCCUACCUGUUCCUUUUCUCUUGCAACAUGAGGAUUACUAUCCCUUCCCUUUUUCCCCUGCAGCCCACUUUCCC